GGGCCCGUAGCUCAGGGGUAGAGCAGUCGCCUCUUAAGCGAACGGUCGAAGGUUCGAAUCCUUCCGGGCUCA
RNAcentral lists this transfer RNA (72 nucleotides) under Candidatus Amesbacteria bacterium RIFOXYB1_FULL_47_13. RNAcentral's name for it is "tRNA-Lys". It matches the Rfam family "tRNA". From Rfam's summary of the family: Transfer RNA (tRNA) molecules are approximately 80 nucleotides in length. Their secondary structure includes four short double-helical elements and three loops (D, anti-codon, and T loops). Lineage: Bacteria; Candidatus Amesiibacteriota. The record is from RNAcentral. RNAcentral also lists the same sequence under 1 other name.